This 775-nucleotide ribosomal RNA is filed under the name uncultured bacterium. Its description in RNAcentral is "bacterial SSU rRNA". It matches the Rfam family "Bacterial small subunit ribosomal RNA", at positions 8 to 796 of the family's 1533-position model. The record is from RNAcentral.
AGAGUUUGAUCAUGGCUCAGAAUCAACGCUGGCGGCGUGCCUCAGACAUGCAAGUCGAACGAUUAAAGCUCUCUUCGGAGAGUGCAUAAAGUGGCGCACGGGUGAGUAACACGUAAGUAAUCUACCCUCGAGUGGGGAAUAACGUCCGGAAACGGACGCUAAUACCGCAUAAUGCAGCGGCACCGCAAGGUGACAGUUGUUAAAGAUUUAUCGCUUGAGGAGGAGCUUGCGGCAGAUUAGCUAGUUGGUAAGGUAAUGGCUUACCAAGGCAACGAUCUGUAUCCGGUCUAAGAGGACGGUCGGACACACUGACACUGAAUAACGGGUCAGACUCCUACGGGAGGCAGCAGUCGGGAAUUUUGGGCAAUGGGGGAAACCCUGACCCAGCAACGCCGCGUGAAGGAUGAAGUAUUUCGGUAUGUAAACUUCGAAAGAAUGGGAAGAAUCAAUGACGGUACCAUUUAUAAGGUCCGGCUAACUACGUGCCAGCAGCCGCGGUAAUACGUAGGGACCAAGCGUUGUUCGGAUUUACUGGGCGUAAAGGGCGCGUAGGCGGCGUGACAAGUCACUUGUGAAAUCUCUGGGCUUAACCCAGAACGGCCAAGUGAAACUGUCGUGCUAGAGUGCGGAAGGGGCAAUCGGAAUUCUCGGUGUAGCGGUGAAAUGCGUAGAUAUCGAGAGGAACACCUGAGGUGAAGACGGGUUGCUGGGCCGACACUGACGCUGAGUGCGCGAAAGCCAGGGGAGCAAACGGGAUUAGAUACCCUAGUAGUCC